Acanthaster planci (crown-of-thorns starfish) is the source of this 1354-nucleotide long non-coding RNA. The record is from RefSeq and is a predicted model, not a curated record. NCBI's taxonomy places the organism in Eukaryota, Metazoa, Echinodermata, Asteroidea, Valvatida, Acanthasteridae.
GCCAAUGGACAGGAGAUGAGGUCCAUCCUAUUCCUGGCAGACAAGGAGGGACCAACUUUUGAACUGACCACACAAGCUUUUCAGAUGUGCUUUUCGAGAAUGCUGAACUGAAGGGCUAGACUAUGAGGAGAGAAGACAUCGAGGGAGUUCCUCAGAUUAAGCUGUGUAUUUUUGCUCUCCCGACUAGUGCCCUAGACACACUUUUGCAAGACUUAGUGCAGAAGAAACUCGCAUUGGCUGGAUUUAAGAAGGAAGGGGAGGUUGUAAACAAAUUGCAGAGCAAAAGGGAACUUCUGCAGGUUGCUGAGGCUGAGUGAAAGUCAGACAGCAGAACAGCAGAACUUCCGGAAAGGUGCGCCAUACAAAGGGGAGUCAAAUACUGUUGGAUUCUCCCUUUGUAUGGAAGCAUCUAACCUAACUCCAGAGAUGGUUGCCAACCUCAGUGUGGAGUUAGGAGGAUUCCACCUCACCAUCCUGGACAUGCCAAAGAAGACGACCUACUCGAGACCCACUCCUUCAAGACCGAGACCAAGACUUCAAGACUGAAACUUUUGCAGGUCGAUACCGAGACCUAGUCUUCCAAGAUCAAGACCGAGACCAAACAAUAAACAUGUACCGGUAUACUAUUUUAUGCAAAGCUGAAUGAGGACAAGCAACAUAAUACGAUAACUGUAUUGAACAUAUAAAAUAAAGAAAUUAACGUAUGCAGCACACCAUUGAGCAUAAAUAUAUAGAUUAAAGGUUUUUUUAACACUUGACACAUUUCAUUUUACCUCUGGGAAAUACAAUGUAGUUGUGAUGAGCUGCAGACUUUUGAUAUGUCAAUAUUAGCAGGUGUAUGGUUUAAUUAUAACCAUGAACUCCCAAGCCCAUUUCCAUUUAAUUUCAAUUAAGAUGUAUGGCAUAUUUAUACGGUUCACACAAAUUUAUUGGGCAUGAUUUGUCCAAUACCAAAGUAUAAAAUGACCUUAUGUUAAGGCUAAAUGUCCGACUUUAUCGGUGAUACUUCUUUAAUGAUCACUGGACUGGUUAGAAAGGUCAGUUAGCAGAAAGAAAGUUACCCACUGAUAUGGUAUUUCCCUGUUGAUUGAAAUCGUCAUUUCCAACCUGAGUGACCCCACUGAUGGAAACAUUAAAAUUGUUUUCAUAAACAAAAAUUAAGAAAAAAAUAGUAGCCCAGUAAGAUGUUGAUUUACUGAGAUGACAAAUGAGGGAAAAGAAAUACAUUCUUUGGGCACGUGUGCCAGUUAACUGUGUACCAGUUCCAGUGCUUCCAACCUCGUCUCCAUCGUGUUGAGCGUUGAAUCGUUCCCAAGGCUGUCUCCCGUGCUGGAAAUAAAGUAACAACUUUAGA